GAUGAACGCUGGCGGCGUGCCUAAUACAUGCAAGUCGAGCGAACAGACGAGGAGCUUGCUCCUCUGACGUUAGCGGCGGACGGGUGAGUAACACGUGGAUAACUUACCUAUAAGACUGGGAUAACUUCGGGAAACCGGAGCUAAUACCGGAUAAUAUAUUGAACCGCAUGGUUCAAUAGUGAAAGACGGUUUUGCUGUCACUUAUAGAUGGAUCCGCGCCGCAUUAGCUAGUUGGUAAGGUAACGGCUUACCAAGGCAACGAUGCGUAGCCGACCUGAGAGGGUGAUCGGCCACACUGGAACGGAGACACGGUCCAGACUCCUACGGGAGGCAGCAGUAGGGAAUCUUCCGCAAUGGGCGAAAGCCUGACGGAGCAACGCCGCGUGAGUGAUGAAGGUCUUCGGAUCGUAAAACUCUGUUAUUAGGGAAGAACAAAUGUGUAAGUAACUAUGCACGUCUUGACGGUACCUAAUCAGAAAGCCACGGCUAACUACGUG
Molecule: ribosomal RNA, 497 nt
Filed under: uncultured bacterium
Lineage: Bacteria
Description: partial 16S ribosomal RNA
Rfam family: Bacterial small subunit ribosomal RNA
Source: RNAcentral